Molecule: long non-coding RNA, 396 nt
Filed under: Bos taurus (domestic cattle)
Lineage: Eukaryota; Metazoa; Chordata; Mammalia; Artiodactyla; Bovidae
Description: long non-coding RNA NONBTAT016800
Source: RNAcentral
UGACUGAAAUCAGUUGGAUUUAUUUCUUUCUAAAGUUUGUACAUUUACAUAUAUCAUAUACAUAUUUUAAAUCCUUCACUAUUUUGUAUGAUUUCUAUUACAUAAAAACCAUUUAAAUGCAAUAAAUUCUGUUGUUGUAAAACAACAAAUUAUCUCCAACUUAUAAAAACACAGGAACAGUUAUAUUCAUGAACAUUUACACAGGAGAGAAAUGUACUCUAUACAUCACAGCUUCUAUACACAUCAGGUGACUGCAUGGUUUAGCUUUACCUCAACAACAGUGAAAUAGGGCGUGGGCAACCAGGAACAGGUUUCCUACAGGGGUCGGGACCACGAGCUCGCCCAAGGCUGCCAGUGUGACGGUCUGGCCACUGAAAAGGAGCAGGCCGCCAUUUG